GCCACAUGAUGUUUAAUAGAUUACAUUAGCACAUUGUGCCAAGAUGACUUAUAUCUAUCACCCUUGACUGAUGGCU
Molecule: small nucleolar RNA, 76 nt
Organism: Carcharodon carcharias (great white shark)
Lineage: Eukaryota; Metazoa; Chordata; Chondrichthyes; Lamniformes; Lamnidae
Product: small nucleolar RNA SNORD83
Exons: 1
Source: RefSeq, a predicted model, not a curated record